AGGUGCCUUCAUGUAUAAAAAGGAGGGGGUGUGUGCAUUAGGAAGCAUGAGAGGCUAAGAUGCAAUUUAGAGAAAAUUGCAACUUUUGGCCCAAAGGUUUGAAUAAUUAAAUUCAAACCUAUAGUUUUUUUUUAAUAUAAUUUUGGGACUCACAAUCCCAUUUUUAUAUUAUUUUUCUCUCUUCCUCUCACGUUGCUCAGCGUUUUCUCGCAAGAGGGGAUUAUUUUCUUUUUUCUUCAGAUUAUAUUGACAAAGAUAGUGGUGAAAAAGGAGUUGUGAAGGGGAACUUGUUAUUCAAGAUACAAGGAGCGAAUCCGGCCGAGAAAGCACCAGAGGUGUAAUUAUGGUGUAUGAGACACCAUCUUUUACGUUGCCUCUUAUUUUGGAUUAUACAAUGUAUCUUGUGCCAACUUAGGACAUAUCAUGUCUAUGGAGCAUGUAAACUCUAAUCCUUUUUAUUAAAUGCAUUUAU
Molecule: long non-coding RNA, 472 nt
Organism: Prosopis cineraria
Lineage: Eukaryota; Viridiplantae; Streptophyta; Magnoliopsida; Fabales; Fabaceae
Exons: 3
Source: RefSeq, a predicted model, not a curated record